RNAcentral lists this ribosomal RNA (306 nucleotides) under Triticum aestivum (bread wheat). Its description in RNAcentral is "partial small subunit ribosomal RNA". The record is from RNAcentral. Lineage: Eukaryota; Viridiplantae; Streptophyta; Magnoliopsida; Poales; Poaceae.
AUGCCCAAGCGCACCAGGGGAGGGAGGGCCGACGCCAUGGCGCACGAAGCAUCCAAGCGCCGGGCGAAGCUGCACAUGGAGAAACCCCUCCCCGCCGGUGAGGGUUCCAGCCGGCAGCAGGGCGGCCUUGACGUCGUCGACCACGUCCAGGCUCCGGUGCAGGUGUCACCUAUGCCGGAGCAGGUGGCUCCUCCGCCGGAGCAGGUGACUCCUCUGCCAUGCCAUCUGCUUCCUCUGCCACGCCAUCUGCCUCCUCUGCAGCAGCCCGUGGUCAACGUCGACGGCGACGAGACGAAGAAGAGGUAG